GUGCAGCAGGCGAGAAACUCCCACAAUGGGGGAAACCCUGAUGGAGCGACGCCGCGUGCGGGAUGAAGGCCCUAUGGGUUGUAAACCGCUGUUCAGUGGAAAGAACAUCCUCCGGCUGAAUAGGUCGGAGGCCUGACGUUACCACUGCAGAAAGUCCCGGCCAACUCCGUGCCAGCAGCCGCGGUAAAUACGGGGGGGACGAGCGUUGUCCGGAAUCAUUGGGCGUAAAGGGCGCGUAGGCGGCGAGGAAAGUCGAAUGUGAAAUCUUGCGGCUCAACUGCAAAAACUGCGUUCGAAACUUCCUCGCUUGAGUAUGAGAGAGGUGUGCGGAAUUCCUGGUGUAGCGGUGGAAUGCGUAGAUAUCAGGA
Molecule: ribosomal RNA, 368 nt
Filed under: uncultured microorganism
Description: bacterial SSU rRNA
Rfam family: Bacterial small subunit ribosomal RNA
Source: RNAcentral